Molecule: microRNA, 22 nt
Filed under: Cynara cardunculus (cardoon)
Lineage: Eukaryota; Viridiplantae; Streptophyta; Magnoliopsida; Asterales; Asteraceae
Description: cca-miR6111-5p
Source: miRBase by way of RNAcentral
UCUUUAUGUCACGAUGUAUGAC